CCACCCCUUCCAGACAUUCAUCCGCUUAUAAUAUAUCCUGCACGCGUGCCCAUCUUCUCCUCCCUCUCUCUCUCUCUCUCUCUUCUCUCUCUCUGGUGUUUCUCCACACCCGAUUCGAUUCCUGUUCUCUCUCCAACACCGCCGGGAAAACCCGGAAAGGAAGAAGAAGGGAAGGAACAGCGAACGGAAUUCUGAUCCUCCGACGACCGCCGGGAAGAGGAAGAGAGGCGCGAUGCCGUUCUGCGAGGUGCGCAACAAUGGCAUUAAGCUCUUCUACCGGACCUACGGCGCCGGACCCGUCAAAGUCCUCCUCAUCAUCGGAUUGGCCGGGACCCACGAGUCUUGGGGUCCCCAGAUUAGGGGGCUGGCGGGCACGGACGCGCCCAACGACGGCGGCGGCGAUCCGGCGGCCGUCGAGGGCGGAGCCGGCAAUGGGAGCGGCGGGGACGGCGGCGGGAUCGAGGUCUGCGCCUUCGAUAAUCGCGGCAUGGGUCGGAGCUCCGUGCCCACCAAGAAGGCAUCGUACACAACAAAGAUAAUGGCAAAAGAUGCAAUCGCGAUAAUGGAUCAUUUGGGCUGGAAGGAAGCCCAUGUCUUUGGCCAUUCAAUGGGGGCGAUGAUCGCUUGCAAACUGGCUGCUAUGGUGCCCAACAGAAUUCUUUCACUAGCUGUUCUUAAUGUAACUGGUGGAGGUUUCGAAUGUUUUCCCAAGCUUGACCGGAAAACAGUAUCCAUCGCAUUUCGUUUCUUGAGGGCGAAAACUCCUGAACAGAGGGCAGCCGUGGACUUGGACACUCACUACUCAACGGAGUAUCUGGAGGAGUAUGUAGGGUCUACCACCCGCAGGGCAAUUCUAUACCAAGAAUACGUCAAAGCUAUAUCAGCAAGUGGGAUGCAAUCCCCUUAUGGCUUUGAGGGUCAAGUCAAUGCAUGCUGGAGACAUAAAAUGACCCCGAGAGAGAUUGAAAUGAUCCGUUCUACUGGAUUCCUUGUGUCUGUCAUCCAUGGAAGGCACGAUGUCAUAGCACAGAUGUAUUAUGCAAGGAGACUUGCAGAGAAGCUCCACCCAUUCGCUAGAAUGGUAGACCUUCAUGGAGGGCAUCUAGUGAGUCAUGAGAGGACUGGAGAGGUCAAUCAAGCUCUUCUUGAGUUGAUCAAGGCAUCCGAAAUGAAGGUCAGCCCAGAGGACUGGACUAACUUAACUACGAAAAGUCCUGGGUGGAUAAGGACAAAAUUCGCAUUAAUAAAUAACACCGGAGGUGGAAGCAACGUCUCUAUUGCGUACAGCAUGCUAGAGAGGCUACACAUUUUCCUGCUAUACUUCUUCAGCGUGUUUGUGUUGGUAUUUGAAUAUGGAAGAAAAGCCAUACGAAGCCUCAAGCCUGUCAAAGUCGGAGCUUCCCUGACAUAGCGACAUUCAGAGAAACCUCUUUUUAAUCGGUGAUUGUACAUUUAGCCAUUGAGUUUUUCUGAUCUUUUUACCUUAUCAGCAUCACUCUUAUUUACCGGAGCAGGUGGCUCGGUUGAGAAAACUAGCAUUUUAUGCGACAACAAAUGGAAAUUCAGGAGUGAAGAAGAACGAGAGACGCCAAUUCGUGGGCGGGUAUUUUCAAACCGGAGGACGAGAAGGAACUCAAACUUUCCGGGUUCUGUCUUCCAAGCGAGAGUCAAGAUGCAGUAAAUACUUCUGUAUCUAAGAGACAGAGGAAGCUUAAAAAACACCCUCUCUGUAAUACAGAAUGCUUUCUAAUACAUCUGCGGAUUAUUGAA
This is an RNA transcript of Syzygium oleosum, 1770 nucleotides long. RefSeq lists it as uncharacterized. Lineage: Eukaryota; Viridiplantae; Streptophyta; Magnoliopsida; Myrtales; Myrtaceae. The record is from RefSeq and is a predicted model, not a curated record. The transcript is spliced from 11 exons.